AACGAACGCUGGCGGCAGGCUUAACACAUGCAAGUCGAGCGAGGGCUUCGGGCCUAGGGGCGGACGUGGGGGGAACGCGGGGUAACGUACCCUUCUGUCUGGAAUACCUCUGGGAAAGCGGGAUUAAGGCUGGAUACGCCCAUGGCGAAUGGGUGCUCCUGCGGAAUGGUGUGUGGGGGAAGGAUCGGGCCGCGGCGGAUGGGCUGGCGGGUAGGGUGAUGGCCGGUCAAGUCGAGGAUUCGCAGCUGGUUUGAGAGGAUGCUCCGCCACACUGGGACUGGGACCCGGCCUCGACUCCUACGGGAGGGAGCAGUGGGGUAUCUUGGACGAUGGGGGCAAACGUGAUCCAGCCAUGUCGGGUAAGCCAUGAAGGCGUUAGGAUUGUAAAGCCCUUUCAGCCGGGAAGAUAGUGACGGUACCCGCAGAAGAAGCCCCGGCUAACUCCGUG
Molecule: ribosomal RNA, 448 nt
Filed under: uncultured bacterium
Lineage: Bacteria
Description: partial 16S ribosomal RNA
Rfam family: Bacterial small subunit ribosomal RNA
Source: RNAcentral